Molecule: small RNA, 748 nt
Filed under: Pongo abelii (Sumatran orangutan)
Lineage: Eukaryota; Metazoa; Chordata; Mammalia; Primates; Hominidae
Description: retained intron
Source: RNAcentral
AGGACAGGGAACGGGGCUGUGGGCCGCUCAGACCCUGCGCCCUCUCCCCGCAGCGGCUUUGGCCGGGCUCCAGGAGCAACGGGUGUAUGCGCUUCACCUGAGGCGCUACAAUGACGCGCUGCUCAUCCAUGACACCGUCCGCGCCGUGGAUGCCUUGGCUGCGCUGCAGGAUUUCUAUCACAGGGAGCACGUCACUAAAACCCAGAUCCUGUGUGCCGAGCGCCGGCUGCUGGCCCUGUUCGAUGAGGGACCAGCAAGAAGUGAUCCGGAAGUUCCGAGAUGGAACCCUGAACCUUCUGGUGGCCACGAGUGUGGCGGAGGAGGGGCUGGACAUCCCACAUUGCAAUGUGGUGGUGCGUUAUGGGCUCCUGACCAAUGAAAUCUCCAUGGUCCAGGCCAGGGGCCGUGCCCGGGCCGAUCAGAGUGUUUACUCGUUUGUAGCAACUGAGGGUAGCCGGGAGCUGAAGCGGGAGCUGAUCAACGAGGCGCUGGAGACGCUGAUGGAGCAGGCAGUGGCUGCUGUGCAGAAAAUGGACCAGGCUGAGUACCAGGCCAAGAUCCGGGAUCUGCAGCAGGCAGCCCUGACCAAGCGGGCGGCCCAGGCAGCCCAGCGGGAGAACCAGCGGCGGCAGUUCCCAGUGGAGCACGUGCAGCUACUCUGCAUCAACUGCAUGGUGGCCGUGGGCCACGGCAGCGACCUGCGGAAGGUGGAGGGCACCCACCAUGUCAACGUGAACCCCAGCUUCUC